UACGUAGGGUGCAAGCGUUGUCCGGAAUUAUUGGGCGUAAAGAGCUCGUAGGCGGUUUGUCGCGUCUGCUGUGAAAACUCGGGGCUUAACCCCGGGCCUGCAGUGGGUACGGGCAGACUAGAGUGCGGUAGGGGAGACUGGAAUUCCUGGUGUAGCGGUGAAAUGCGCAGAUAUCAGGAGGAACACCGGUGGCGAAGGCGGGUCUCUGGGCCGUAACUGACGCUGAGGCGCGAAGGCGUGGGGAGCGAACGGG
RNAcentral lists this ribosomal RNA (253 nucleotides) under uncultured bacterium. RNAcentral describes it as "partial 16S ribosomal RNA". It matches the Rfam family "Bacterial small subunit ribosomal RNA", at positions 524 to 776 of the family's 1533-position model. The record is from RNAcentral.